UACGGAGGGUGCAAGCGUUAUCCGGAUUUACUGGGUUUAAAGGGUGUGUAGGCGGGCUUUUAAGUCAGUGGUGAAAUCUCCGAGCUUAACUUGGAAACUGCCAUUGAUACUAUUAGUCUUGAAUUCUGUUGAGGUUGGCGGAAUAAGUCAUGUAGCGGUGAAAUGCAUAGAUAUGACUUAGAACACCGAUUGCGAAGGCAGCUAACUAAGCAGAUAUUGACGCUGAGGCACGAAAGCGUGGGGAUCAAAC
RNAcentral lists this ribosomal RNA (250 nucleotides) under uncultured bacterium. RNAcentral's name for it is "partial 16S ribosomal RNA". It matches the Rfam family "Bacterial small subunit ribosomal RNA", at positions 524 to 773 of the family's 1533-position model. The record is from RNAcentral.